GAUUAAGGCCCCAUUGAGUGUGGCAUUUCGGUCGGCAACAAAUUUGAAAGGACAAAGAGCUAAAAAUUUGUUAAAAUGGAGGGAAAUUAAGUGUCCUACACAACCCGGUAGUGUGGAGUGCGGAUAUUAUGUCUUGCGAUAUAUGUUUGAGAU
Long non-coding RNA from Ipomoea triloba (trilobed morning glory), 153 nucleotides. RefSeq lists it as uncharacterized. NCBI's taxonomy places the organism in Eukaryota, Viridiplantae, Streptophyta, Magnoliopsida, Solanales, Convolvulaceae. The record is from RefSeq and is a predicted model, not a curated record. The transcript has 3 exons.